This 455-nucleotide ribosomal RNA is filed under the name fungal sp. 4 EO-2015. RNAcentral describes it as "eukaryotic LSU rRNA". The stretch from base 151 to 304 matches the Rfam family "5.8S ribosomal RNA". The record is from RNAcentral. Lineage: Eukaryota; Fungi.
UUAGAGGAAGUAAAAGUCGUAACAAGGUUUCCGUAGGUGAACCUGCGGAAGGAUCAUUAAAGUUUGCUUAAUUGCAUUACACAUGUUUUUUUAGAGAACUUGCUUGCAAGAACACUAAUAAUUUACUUAGUCAACAAAUAAAAAUAUCAAAACUUUCAACAACGGAUCUCUUGGUUCUCGCAUCGAUGAAGAACGCAGCGAAAUGCGAUACGUAAUAUGAAUUGCAGAUUUUCGUGAAUCAUCGAAUCUUUGAACGCACAUUGCGCCCUGUGGUAUUCCACAGGGCAUGCCUGUUUGAGCGUCAUUUCUCCCUCAAACCUCUGGUUUGGCGUUGAGUGAUACUCGGUUUACUUGAAAAACAUGAAAAGCAUAACUAUUAGGUUUUACCAACUCGUUAUACUAAUCUACAAGUUUGACCUCAAAUCAGGUAGGACUACCCGCUGAACUUAAGCAUA